This is a long non-coding RNA of Sapajus apella (tufted capuchin), 2817 nucleotides long. RefSeq lists it as uncharacterized. The record is from RefSeq and is a predicted model, not a curated record. The transcript is spliced from 3 exons. NCBI's taxonomy places the organism in Eukaryota, Metazoa, Chordata, Mammalia, Primates, Cebidae.
CCAGGAGGUCAAGGCUUCAGUGAGCCGUGAUCACACUACUGUACUCCAGUGACAGAAUGAGACCCUGUCUCUCAAAAAGAAACAAAAAAUGCAUUAUUUCUGGGUAAACCACAGAUACACUGGGCUGUCUUUCUAUUUUUAGGGACCAGAUUUGGGGCAGUUCUUAGGGAUUUCUGAAGCCCAUGUCAGGCAACAUUGAAUGUGGCGAUGAAGUGGGCAAUGGGGACACAGAUGCAGUGAGUAGCUGGGGCCCCGGGCGAUAGCUGCUGCCUGUGGUCCUGUGGGAGGGGUGAGCACACUUGCUGUUCAUGUGUAGAGAUGCGUGCUUCUGUGGGUGAGCUUGGGGAUCCCCUCCCCUCAGCUGUGGGGACCUGAGGUGACAUCACAUAUCCCGGAAGCAGAGGGCUCAGCAGCUGGGAGUGCCCUGGGCCUAUGCGAGUGGGCUGGCAUCUGCUUACCUUCAGGCCCAGGCCUUGCUGGGAUUUGGGGCUUGCCGAGGCCCCAGGCCCCGUGGGUGCAGAGCAGCUGCUGCCACUAGGUGGUGCCCCUGCCUUGGUGAUCCUUCCCACAGCCAUUUCUCUUUGGUCUCUUUGGCCUUGUGUUCCCACCACCCUCCCACCAUGGGACUUGCUUGCUGACACCAGGGUUGUAGUUGAUGGGGAUGUGAGGGGCCUGUGGCCACUGUUCCUGCCUGCCUUUAGUGGGGUGCUUCUGGCUGUCUCAUGCCUGCCCGGUUUCUGACCAGCAUCCUGGGGACCCUCAGGCCCCAGGGCUAUGAGCCCCUGGUAUUGAGGCCAGGUGUCCUCUGUAUGGCCCUUCCCUAAUGACAGGACUCUGGUGUCCUGCAGUCCUCAGAGGGCUCUUUGGCCUCACCCCGGACUUGGAUGUACCCUGCCUGAGCCCCAGGAGAGAGUGGCCUCCUCACCCUCUUCCCCAUGUGAGGCUUCUUACGUCUUAGGAGAGGAGGCUGGGCGAGUUGGCUGGGGCGAGUCAGUGAAACCAUGGGAAGACCCCGUGGAACGAGGUCCUUAUGUGUCACGCAGGCCUGGGCACAUGCGACAUGUCCAGCACACAGGGUCAUGCAGGUUGUGGGCAUAUUAGUUUCUACAACUUUGAAGUCACAGGCAGGAAGGGGACACUGCGUGUGGAUGAGCCUGUGUGAAUACAUGUGGGGAAGGGCAGGAUGCCAGUGCCAGUAGUGUGAUGUUGAUACGCUUUCCCUUAGGGUGUUGGGCACUGGGCUGAGGGAGUUAGCAGCAGUCUGGCACAGGAGGAGGAGGAGGUGUAAUCAAGAGAGGCCAGUGGGAAAGAUGUGUGAGAGUGGAGGCCAUCUGGGAAUGCAGGGUGCUUCUCUUUGGAAAAUCACCUAUUUCAGUAGAAUGAGAAAGGGGUGCAGGCCAUCUCUGUAGGCAAGCAGCACAACCAUUGAUAACAAUCCCAAACGCAUUUGUGGUUGAAAAUUCUCAGCAAGCUAAGAAGAGAAGAGAAAUUCCUCAACCAGGUAAAAGACACCUGCGGAAAACCACAGCUGAUAUAAUAUAAGGGUGAAACUGACUGCGUCCCUGACACAGAGACCAGGCAGGGUGUCUGUUCCCGCCACCCCUGGUCGCACUGUGCGGGAGAUCUUCACCAGUAUAAUUAGGCAGGCAAAAAGAAAAGGUAGCUAGACUAGAAAGGAGGAAGUAAACCUAUACCUGGAGACAACAUAAUGAUCUGUAGAAGUUUCCAGAGUGUCAAUGACAAGCCAGUAGGACUAAACAGUGAGGUUUACAGGGUCACAGCAUACAAGGACAGUGUACCAAAAUAGGUUACGUUUCCGUAUGCUAGCAAUGAGCCACUGGAGUACAUACCACAUGUGACGGCAUCAAAGUCCAUGAAAAUACUCAGGGAUGCAUGUAAGAAAAUCUGUGUAAGAUUUGUACACUGAGAAGCUUCAGAUGCAACUGAGACAUUAAGAUCACCUAAUAUAAAAAAAUAGAGACAUCAUAAGGGGAAAAAGGAACUCUUUUCCGCUCUGCUCUCACAUAGCCACUGACUCAGUACUUCUGACAUCAGAUACUGGAAGGUUCCCCACACACCAGCCAGUUCUCCAGGGGAUACCAGCUGGGUGUCCUGCAGCCUCAUCUGUACUCUCUCCACCUGGAGUUAGUAUCAGCUCCCCCGGGAUCAGGGCCAGUCCCACACGUCUGGGCCCCACUUCAGAUUCUGAUUGCAAGGUAGUAGGCUGUCAUCUAUGCUUCAUUGUACUGUUUUCUCCUCUCCCUCUGUCACUGACAUCAGCUGUACUUCUGACUAGCAGGCUAUUAAAGGAGGCUCCUAUAACCCAUUCCUUGGGUUUAAUUAAUUUGCUAGUGUGACUCUCAGAACUCAGGAAGACAUUUUCUUACGUUUACUCCUGUGUUAUAAAGGAUGUUAGGAUGCCUGAAUUGAACCUUAGAAAGACUGGAAAAAAAAAAUAAAGGAUGUUAGGAAUAAUUCAGGUCAACAGGUCUGUAGAGUGAGGUACGAGGGGAGGUGUGGAGCUGCCAUGCCCUCUCUGGGUACACCACCCUCCAGGACCCUCCAUGUGUGCAGCUCUGAACCCUGGCCUUAUUAUGGGUUUUUACAGAGGCUUUGUCACAUAAGCAUGAUUGAUGACACCACUGGCCAUUGGGAAUCAACUCAACCUUCCGCCCCUCUCCCCUUCUGGGAGAUUGAGGGGUGUGACUCAAAGUCCCAACCCUCUAAUUCCACCUUGGUGUUUCUGGUGACCAUCCUAUCUGAAGCUGCCUGGGGGCUGCCAACCACCAGUCAUGUGUGUCAAGGAAUGGAAAGGCC